Anolis carolinensis (green anole) is the source of this 2324-nucleotide long non-coding RNA. The record is from Ensembl. NCBI's taxonomy places the organism in Eukaryota, Metazoa, Chordata, Lepidosauria, Squamata, Anolidae.
UCAUAGAAAACGACACCAAAUAUGUGGCAGAGAUUUAUGUUGGGAGCCCAAUUUUGGUUUUGGUGAACAAUUGGGAAGAACGAGACAGCAGGACUCUAGGGAAGUUUUGGGAACACUUCUGGAGAUCUAUAAGCAGAGUAUGGGUGCAUGGGCAUGCUUGUGGCUUUGCAAGUUUGGGGCACAGAACAACUCACCACAGCAGAGGCUUCCUUCUCCAAAAUUGGACAGCUGUUUUGAGGCAGUGGUGGUCUCAGCACAUUGUCUUAUUCCAGGGGUGCUUGCAAACUUCCUGGUGGGAUUGGACUAAUUUUGGGGGGGAUCUACUGGAGGAGAAGAGAGAGGUGAGGGCUCCCGGGAUGAGUUUCCUCUUCUGGCCUUUGAUUUGUUGGCUUUUUCUCCUCCCGGUGUCCAGAAGCCACCCUCAGGAGAAUUUUUAUAUAUCACAGAAUUCGUCAAGCUUCUUCAAGGAAGGGAAGGAGGGCUGUAAAAUGAGAAAAUCUUACUUAGAACAAUAGGUUUAGACUUGGAGCCACUCCAAGACCUCCUGUCUGAGCCGAAUGGCAAGAUGGUGUUUCUGAUGAGGCUAGGGAAAACUCCUGAAACAAAGACUGGUAUGUUGUCUUUUUCUGCUAGCUUGAUGUCCUCUCAUAGUCCAGGCAACCAAAGAGGGUUUUUUGGCGGACCAAGCAUUACAGGCUGUGCCCCUUACAUUAUAUGCAGAUUUAGUGGUAGGAGUGGAUUGUGAGGUGGGGAGGACAUUUGCAUGUGGGUGGUGAUUGACUGGCUCAUUCCAUCUGCAUUUUCAUUUCAUCUCCUCCAAAUACUGUAUUCACGGGUUCUGCAUCUUUUUUAUGUAGUUCUUUGUUUGCUUUAUGAAGCUUUGGAAAAUGAAUGGUUAUUAAUGAAGAAUUCAGUUUAUUCUUAGCAAAUAUAUAAGAGUUUGUAUACUGUAUUUCAGAAAUUUGGAUGUCACUUUUCAGUGCACUCCCAUGAGGAUUUGAUCAAUAAGCAGUGCAAUGAAACUGAUACAAUACUCGGAUAAUAAACCAUUCCCUGAAAUUGUUUCCUCCAUUUUUGAUUUGCUUUUCUGAGUCACUUGAUUCUCUAGAGUAAGUUCCAUUGAACUCAUAGAGAUGCAUUUGUGAUCAAAUUGCUUAAAAAUCUAUGGAACAUCUUGUAGACCUUUGGGUCUGUUUUCAAAGAACAAUCUUCACAUUAUUGGAAAACAUUUUAUUGAUGCCCCCAUUUGGUAUAAACAAGCAAAUGGAAACAUCUGAGCUAAAAUUCCCUUGGACAAUUAAGGAUGCCUAACCGACGUUGUUCCACAGCCACAGAGUAACUCCUAGCCCAACCUCCCUCAAUUCCAGUAUACUAGGAAGUCCAUUGGAGUUUGUUCCCCUAUCUAUUGGGAAAAGCUAUAUUAUAAUCUCACUCCAUCCCAUGAGCAAUUCUUAAUAUAACAGGCAGAAGCAGGGUCCCUGUUGCAAUUCCCUCUUGCAUUAGCAAUUGGGAACAUCAAUCAGCUGCUUCUUGAUUGAUGGAGAAACAGACUCCCAUUGAUUGCAGUGGCUGCUGUCCAGGAAUCUGGCAUUGGGGAACUUUCGUGGUAACUAUGUAGUUUACACAUUCAUGACUAACAGUAUAUUCUCAUCCUCAUUUCCAAGAUGAGUGGAGUGCCUUCCACACAUCAGUGACCUAAGAUAACAGUUAAAAUGUGCUGGUAAGCCUUUUUAUGAACAAACUCCAGCAGUCACGGAGAGACAAUAGUUCGUGCCAAAGGUAUUGCCAUGUAAGUGCUCCCCGGCUACAAGCUCGGUGGUGGUGGCGCGCUCUCCCAAGGCGCUCAUAUAUGAGUUGCUGCUUAUUGUUCGCUGGUUCUUAGCAACCUUAAUGAGGCCUCUGUAAUUCUUGUCAGCAGUCCAACAGUGUAUCCACCAAAGAACCAAUCUGUGUUUCCUUACACGUAAAACAGCACAGAGAAAUAGCAGUAAUAAUUAACUCCUCUUUACCAGUUUGCAGUAAUAAAUAGCUUUUGCUGCUAUAACACAGAUACAUCCAUCUCCAUUUAAUAGAUGAGACAGAUAUAAUAUGAGCAAGGAAUUCAUUUUUCUCUUCCUCUCCAUCCCUCACUCACUGUUUGUGAAAGAUGUCAAUAAUGGGUAUUUAUGAAUACAGUAUAUGCAUUUAUUUAAGACAAGCAACGUGUAUGGAGUUAUACAGAGUCCAUCAAGACAGGUCACUGCCCUCACAGAAAUCUAAAAUUUAAAACAACAGAAAUCAAGAAGGCAUGGCAGAUGAGUAAUAUCAGGUGUAAACAAGAGGGA